This 376-nucleotide ribosomal RNA is filed under the name Soteriscus laouensis. Its description in RNAcentral is "partial 16S ribosomal RNA". The stretch from base 91 to 376 matches the Rfam family "Bacterial large subunit ribosomal RNA", at positions 2075 to 2620 of the family's 2925-position model. Lineage: Eukaryota; Metazoa; Arthropoda; Malacostraca; Isopoda; Porcellionidae. The record is from RNAcentral.
AUUAGAACUGGAUGAAGGUCUGACAAAAAAUAAAUUUUCUUGCUUUAAUUACUAAUUUUAUAUAUAUAAUAAAAAAGUUUAUAAUAAUUAGAAGGACGAUAAGACCCUAAAACCUUUAUUAAUAAUCUAUUUUUUUACUGGGGUGGUAACUUAUAAAGACAUAAUUAAAAUUAACAUAUUGAAUGAAAUUAACUAACUUAAAUUUAAAAACAAAAAGGUACUUUAGGGGUAACAGCAUAAUUUUUAUAGAGAGUAACCUUAUCGACAUAAAAGCUUAUGACCUCGAUGUUGAAUUGAAUAUACUUUAUUAAGCAACAAUAAUAAAAGUAGGUCUGUUCGACCUUUAAACUUUCACAUGAUCUGAGUUCAAACCGGA